Non-coding RNA from Parascedosporium putredinis, 81 nucleotides. NCBI's taxonomy places the organism in Eukaryota, Fungi, Ascomycota, Sordariomycetes, Microascales, Microascaceae. The record is from the annotation of a GenBank genome assembly.
UCCCAUAUGGUGUAGUGGUCAGCAUAGGGCCCUCUCAACUUGAGCGAGGCUUUGACCCCGGUUCGAAUCCGGGUAUGGGAG